AUUGAACGCUGGCGGCAUGCCUUACACAUGCAAGUCGAACGGCAGCACGGGUGCUUGCAUCUGGUGGCGAGUGCCGCACGGGUGAGUAUUACAUCGGAACAUCUCCUCUAGUGGGGUAUAGCCCGUCGAAAGCCGGGUUAAUACCGCCUACGACCUACGGAUACCAGCGGGGGCCCUUCUGGACUCGCGCUAUACUGUCGGCCGGUGACGCAUUAGCGAGUCGGUGGGGUAAAGGCUUACCAAGGCGACGAUCAGUAGCUGGUCUGAGAGGAAGAACAGCCACACUGGAACUGAGACACGGCCCAGACUCCUACGGGAGGCAGCAGUGGGGAAUGUUGGACAAUGGGCGAAAGCCUGAUGCAGCAAUGCCGCGUGCGUGAAGAAGGUCUUCGGAUCGUAAAGCAAUGUUGUCAGGAAAGAAAACCUGGGUAAGAAUACGGGCGGGUGAUGACGGUACCGGAAGAGAAAGCACCGGCUAACUACGUG
Molecule: ribosomal RNA, 486 nt
Filed under: uncultured bacterium
Lineage: Bacteria
Description: partial 16S ribosomal RNA
Rfam family: Bacterial small subunit ribosomal RNA
Source: RNAcentral